This is a long non-coding RNA of Melanotaenia boesemani (Boeseman's rainbowfish), 775 nucleotides long. RefSeq lists it as uncharacterized. The record is from RefSeq and is a predicted model, not a curated record. Lineage: Eukaryota; Metazoa; Chordata; Actinopteri; Atheriniformes; Melanotaeniidae. The transcript has 3 exons.
GUUUGUUUGGGAUCAUCAGGGAGACACCAAGAACAAGACGGCUAGAAGACUGGGUUGACUUCACCAUCAAUGUGCUCUUACCGGAAGUGACAGUUCACACCCUGGCUAUAAAAUAUGACACGCCAAUGCAAGAGGCUAUUGUCAGAUACAAAAAAGGGUUACAGUAUGAACCAUGUGAAUUGAAAAUGAUUGAGAAAGCGUUAGUGAAGAACUUACCUGAGGACGCAGCAGUGAAGCUCAGAGCUUUCAAAAAGAGAAUGGAAAGAGCCCUUUCCCUCAGAGGAGAGGGCUGGCUCUAAUACAGUUGUGUGAAAAAGUAUUCCGGAUUUCUUAUUCUUUUGCAUGUUUGUACGGUAAUGGGACAUGUAUCUUCCCAAAAUUUUAACUUUUGUCUCUUUUGUCCACAGAAUAUUCUCCCAAAAUGUCUUGGAGAUCAUCUAGAUGUUUUUUGGAAAAAAUGACUUGACUUUUUAUGUUCUUUAUGCUCAGUAGUGGUUUUCGCCUUGGAACUCUGACAUGGAGGCCAUUUUCGCCCCUUGUCUAUCUUAUUGUAAAGUCAUGAACAUUGACCUUAACUGAGUCCAGUGAGUUCUGCAGGUCUUUGGGUGUUGUUCUGGGGGCUUUUGUGACCUCUCGGAUGAGUUUUAGUUGUGCUUUUUGGGUCAUUUUGGUCGGCGGGCCUCUCCCACUAUUACUUUACAUUGUCAGGCAGGUUCUAUUUUAGUGAUUUCUUGUUGAGAAUUUGUCAAUAACAAAGACCUUCAUUUAAAAACUG